This 253-nucleotide ribosomal RNA is filed under the name uncultured bacterium. RNAcentral's name for it is "partial 16S ribosomal RNA". It matches the Rfam family "Bacterial small subunit ribosomal RNA", at positions 524 to 776 of the family's 1533-position model. The record is from RNAcentral.
UACGUAGGGGGCAAGCGUUGUCCGGAUUUAUUGGGCGUAAAGAGCGUGUAGGCGGCCUGAAAGGUCAGCUGUGAAAACUCGAGGCUCAACCUCGAGACGUCGGUUGAAACCAUCUGGCUAGAGUCCGGAAGAGGAGUGUGGAAUUCCCGGUGUAGCGGUGAAAUGCGCAGAUAUCGGGAAGAACACCAGUGGCGAAGGCGGCACUCUGGGACGGUACUGACGCUGAGACGCGAAAGCGUGGGGAGCGAACAGG